RNAcentral lists this ribosomal RNA (401 nucleotides) under uncultured bacterium. Its description in RNAcentral is "bacterial SSU rRNA". It matches the Rfam family "Bacterial small subunit ribosomal RNA", at positions 356 to 774 of the family's 1533-position model. The record is from RNAcentral.
CGGGAAUUUUGGGCAAUGGGCGAAAGCCUGACCCAGCAACGCCGCGUGAGGGAUGAAGUAUUUCGGUAUGUAAACCUCGAAAGAACGGGAAGAAUAAAUGACGGUACCAUUUAUAAGCUCCGGCUAACUACGUGCCAGCAGCCGCGGUAAUACGUAGGGAGCAAGCGUUGUUCGGAUUUACUGGGCGUAAAGGGCGCGUAGGCGGCGCGGUAAGUCACUUGUGAAAUCUCUGAGCUUAACUCAGAACGGCCAAGUGAUACUGCUGUGCUAGAGUGCGGAAGAGGCAACCGGAAUUCUUGGUGUAGCGGUGAAAUGCGUAGAUAUCAAGAGGAACACCUGAGGCGAAGGCGGGUUGCUGGGCCGACACUGACGCUGAUGCGCGAAAGCCAGGGGAGCAAACG